This 194-nucleotide ribosomal RNA is filed under the name uncultured bacterium. RNAcentral describes it as "partial 16S ribosomal RNA". It matches the Rfam family "Bacterial small subunit ribosomal RNA", at positions 524 to 717 of the family's 1533-position model. The record is from RNAcentral.
UACGGAGGGUGCGAGCGUUAAUCGGAAUUACUGGGCGUAAAGCGCACGCAGGCGGUUUGUUAAGCAAGAUGUGAAAGCCCCGGGCUCAACCUGGGAACUGCAUUUUGAACUGGCAGACUAGAGUCUUGGAGAGGGGGGUGGAAUUCCAGGUGUAGCGGUGAAAUGCGUAGAGAUCUGGAGGAACUCAAGGUGGG